CCAGAUCACUAAACGACCGCUGGCACGUGGGUGAGAAGUCACGGCGUGCGAGAGGAAAGUCCGGGCAGUAUAGGGCAAUGACAGUCGCUAACGGCGACCGCGCGCGAGCGUAGGGAAAGUGCCACAGAAACGAAACCGCCAAGUCCCAAAAGGACGGUAAGGGUGAAAGGAGCGGGGUAAGAGCCCGCAGCGAUGCAUGGUGACAUGCAAAGGAGGUAAACCCUGUCAACUGCAAGGAGGUUGGACCACCGGCGGCCCGUCGGCUAACCGUUUUAACCCGCUGGAUUACGUCGGCAACGGCGUGACUAGAUAGAUGGUCGUUCACGACAAAACCCGGCUUACCGGUGGUCUGGCACC
RNAcentral lists this RNase P RNA (357 nucleotides) under Candidatus Nomurabacteria bacterium. RNAcentral's name for it is "RNase P RNA component class A". It matches the Rfam family "Bacterial RNase P class A". From Rfam's summary of the family: Ribonuclease P (RNase P) is a ubiquitous endoribonuclease, found in archaea, bacteria and eukarya as well as chloroplasts and mitochondria. The record is from RNAcentral. Lineage: Bacteria; Candidatus Nomuraibacteriota.